CCAAUAGCGUAUAUUAAAGUUGUUGCAGUUAAAAAGCUCGUAGUUGAACCUCGGGAUCAAUGGGUCGGUCAUGCCAAUGGUAUGUACUGGCCUCAUUGGUUCUCACCUUCUAAGGAACCAUGAUGUCAUUCAUUUGAUGUUGUGGGGAAUUAGGACUGUUACCUUGAAAAAAUUAGAGUGUUUAAAGCAGGCUAACGCUU
Molecule: ribosomal RNA, 200 nt
Filed under: uncultured Glomus
Lineage: Eukaryota; Fungi; Glomeromycota; Glomeromycetes; Glomerales; Glomeraceae
Description: partial small subunit ribosomal RNA
Rfam family: Eukaryotic small subunit ribosomal RNA
Source: RNAcentral